CCUACGGGAGGCAGCAGUGGGGAAUAUUGCACAAUGGGCGGAAGCCUGAUGCAGCGACGCCGCGUGAGUGAAGAAUGGCCUCGGCGCGUAAAGCCCUGUCAUCAGGGAAGAAAAUAACGGUACGUGAAGAAGCAGGCCCGGCUAACAACGUGCCAGCAGGCGUGGUAAUACGUCGGUGGCACGGUUUAUACGGAAUUACUGGGUGUAAAGGGGGCGGAGACGGGUAUGCAAGGCUGGUGGGAAAGCCUGGGGUCUAAACCUGGGCGUUCAGUGGAAACUGUGUGGCUGGAGUGCAGGAGAGGAAGGCGGAAUUCGUGGGGUAGCGGUGAAAUGCGUAGAUAUAAGGAGGAACACCGGUGGCGAAGGCGGCUUGCGGGACUGCAACUGACGUUGAGGCGCGAAAGCGUGGGGAGCAAACAGGAUUAGAUACCCGUGUAGUC
This 440-nucleotide ribosomal RNA is filed under the name uncultured bacterium. Its description in RNAcentral is "partial 16S ribosomal RNA". It matches the Rfam family "Bacterial small subunit ribosomal RNA", at positions 338 to 795 of the family's 1533-position model. The record is from RNAcentral.